UUGCUUGAUGAUUUGGUUUGAGCUUGCUGUGGGCUUCCUUUAAGUAAUUUCUAGUAUCAAUUGUUGCUUCAAAAUGAUAAACUUUAGCAGUUACUAGCACUGUAGCUAGCAACAUCUCUUACUUGUAGGUAACCUUGGUAAUGGAGGUUUUUCAAUAGUAUAUCUUUGUGUUCAUUUAAGAUUACAUUCUUUGAUUGUAAACUAAAGCAAGAAGAGUUUUUUGGAGCUGUCUCUUAUUUAAGGUCUCUCGGGGAUAGAGGGUAAGAGGUUUUGGAAGACCAGUCAUAAUUCACACUCCAUCCAUUUAAUGAAUUCCUUUGAACACAGGCUGGUGUUGUUGUGAGUAGAGGUGGAGGCUGAAAGCAAAGAAGGAGACAGUUUAUUUUUUUUAUUUGGGGGGGAUUUGAAAGUUUUGUGUGGUGUCCAGAAUCUGGAGAGGCUCACCCAAAAUCACAAGAGACUUUUAUUGAUUUUCUUUUUUAAAUGUUCUGCCUGUCAGCAACACUUCCUCUCUCCUGCCACGUUUCAAGAGGACUGUCACUGUUUGAACUUGGGAAGAAUUUAGAGAUUAAAGCCCAAAGGCAUUCUGGUGAAGUUAAUGGGAGUUGCUGUGUCGGAGCUGUCUCUGUAGGGAGGUGAACUACGAGUGGUGGACAGUGUGGAGCUUCAGUUUUAGGUCAUUUCUAUGAAAACACAGUAGGAACAGACAAACAGCUGUGGGUGCCGCCCAGCAGGUAUUUCCUGAUGUGAUCCUCAGAAAUAUUCCACGAAGUCUUUGACAGGUAGACUAUAGAGUAUAGUUCUAUAAUACAGUACACAAGGAAAACAACUUUUUGGCUAACUUAAUUUCUUCACAGUAGGUCAGUCAUCCCUUCAUGCAGUCUCAACUCCCUCCAUAUUUUCUGUCAAAAACCAAAGAUAUACUUUGUACCUCCUUACUUUUCUGAACCAUUUCCUGUUCUCCUCUAUCAACUUCUCAUUCUUCAGACAUCAGCAGCAGUCCAAUAAGUGUUACUUUUGGCUUAACGUAAAGGGAAGUGUUGCCUUUUAAGCACUUGCAGGCUGCAUGUGCCUGCAAGUGCAAAAUUGU
Astatotilapia calliptera (eastern happy) is the source of this 1090-nucleotide long non-coding RNA. Lineage: Eukaryota; Metazoa; Chordata; Actinopteri; Cichliformes; Cichlidae. The record is from Ensembl.